Molecule: non-coding RNA, 92 nt
Filed under: Stenotrophomonas indicatrix
Lineage: Bacteria; Pseudomonadati; Pseudomonadota; Gammaproteobacteria; Lysobacterales; Lysobacteraceae
Source: RNAcentral
GACUACGGCGGGCGGUGCGCGGCGGCCGCAUGGCCCUCCGGCUUUUCUCGUAGCUCAGCCGAAGUUCCAACCCCGCACCGCCCGCCACCCUU